CUCGUAGGUGGUUUGUCGCGUUGUUCGUGAAAACUCACAGCUUAACUGUGGGCGUGCGGGCGAUACGGGCAGACUGGAGUACUGCAGGGGAGACUGGAAUUCCUGGUGUAGCGGUGGAAUGCGCAGAUAUCAGGAGGAACACCGGUGGCGAAGGCGGGUCUCUGGGCAGUAACUGACGCUGAGGAGCGAAAGCGUGGGAGCGAACA
RNAcentral lists this ribosomal RNA (206 nucleotides) under uncultured bacterium. RNAcentral describes it as "partial 16S ribosomal RNA". It matches the Rfam family "Bacterial small subunit ribosomal RNA", at positions 568 to 774 of the family's 1533-position model. The record is from RNAcentral.